RNAcentral lists this ribosomal RNA (323 nucleotides) under uncultured bacterium. RNAcentral describes it as "bacterial SSU rRNA". It matches the Rfam family "Bacterial small subunit ribosomal RNA", at positions 29 to 334 of the family's 1533-position model. The record is from RNAcentral.
AACGAACGUUGGCGACGUGGAUAAGGCAUGCAAGUCGAACGAGAACGGUUUCUUCGGAGACUUAGUAAAGUGGCGAAAGGGUGAGUAAUGCAUGGUUGAUCUACCUUCAAGACCGGAAUAACCCAGAGAAAUUUGGGCUAAUACCGGAUGAAGUCAUGACUUUAGAGAUUCAUGAUGAAAGGGGUGCCUCUAUUUAUAUGCUACCGCUUGAAGAGGAGACCAUGUCCUAUUAGCUUGUUGGUGGGGUAAAAGCCUACCAAGGCGAUGAUGGGUAGCCGGCCUGAGAGGGUGUCCGGCCACACUGGGACUGAGAUACUGCCCAG